UGAAAAUUGAGAAACAUAGAAAUAGAAGGAAAAGAAAGUGAAAAAUCAGAAACCAGGGAUUAGGUUAAAUUCAAAUUACUUCACACUGCAUACACACAUGCUGUAUUUAAAA
Long non-coding RNA from Sinocyclocheilus anshuiensis, 112 nucleotides. RefSeq lists it as uncharacterized. Lineage: Eukaryota; Metazoa; Chordata; Actinopteri; Cypriniformes; Cyprinidae. The transcript is spliced from 5 exons. The record is from RefSeq and is a predicted model, not a curated record.